RNAcentral lists this ribosomal RNA (253 nucleotides) under uncultured bacterium. RNAcentral's name for it is "partial 16S ribosomal RNA". It matches the Rfam family "Bacterial small subunit ribosomal RNA", at positions 524 to 776 of the family's 1533-position model. The record is from RNAcentral.
UACGUAGGGUGCAAGCGUUACUCGGAAUUACUGGGCGUAAAGCGUGCGCAGGCGGUUUUGUAAGUCUGUCGUGAAAUCCCCGGGCUUAACCUGGGAAUUGCGAUGGAGACUGCAAGGCUAGAAUCUGGCAGAGGGGGGUAGAAUUCCACGUGUAGCAGUGAAAUGCGUAGAGAUGUGGAGGAACACCGAUGGCGAAGGCAGCCCCCUGGGUCAAGAUUGACGCUCAUGCACGAAAGCGUGGGGAGCAAACAGG